Molecule: transfer RNA, 90 nt
Filed under: Solirubrobacter deserti
Lineage: Bacteria; Bacillati; Actinomycetota; Thermoleophilia; Solirubrobacterales; Solirubrobacteraceae
Description: tRNA-Ser
Rfam family: tRNA
About the family: Transfer RNA (tRNA) molecules are approximately 80 nucleotides in length. Their secondary structure includes four short double-helical elements and three loops (D, anti-codon, and T loops).
Source: RNAcentral
GGAGAGGUGCGAGAGUGGUUGAAUCGGGCGGUCUCGAAAACCGUUGAGCGGGUAACCCCUGUUCCGAGGGUUCGAAUCCCUCCCUCUCCG